Molecule: microRNA precursor, 135 nt
Filed under: Prunus dulcis (almond)
Lineage: Eukaryota; Viridiplantae; Streptophyta; Magnoliopsida; Rosales; Rosaceae
Description: sRNA ncRNA
Source: RNAcentral
GCGGGUCCCACUGGGCUUCAAGGGCUUCAACCAGGUACAUACAUUUGGGUUCAGCUCCGUAAAUCCUUGAGCCUCACCGGAGCUGAACCUAAAUGUAUGGACAUGGUUGAAGCCCUUGAAAUCCAGUGGGACCGG